AGUGAACGCUGGCGGUAGGCCUAACACAUGCAAGUCGAACGGCAGCACAGGAGAGCUUGCUCUCUGGGUGGCGAGUGGCGGACGGGUGAGGAAUACAUCGGAAUCUACUUUUUCGUGGGGGAUAACGUAGGGAAACUUACGCUAAUACCGCAUACGACCUACGGGUGAAAGCAGGGGACCUUCGGGCCUUGCGCGAUUGAAUGAGCCGAUGUCGGAUUAGCUAGUUGGCGGGGUAAAGGCCCACCAAGGCGACGAGCCGUAGCUGGUCUGAGAGGAUGAUCGGCCACACUGGAACUGAGACACGGUCCAGCCUCCUACGGGAGGCAGCAGUGGGGAAUAUUGGACAAUGGGCGCAAGCCUGAUCCAGCCAUACCGCGUGGGUGAAGAAGGCCUUCGGGUUGUAAAGCCCUUUUGUUGGGAAAGAAAUCCAGCUGGCUAAUACCCGGUUGGGAUGACGGUACCCAAAGAAUAAGCACCGGCUAACUUCGUGCCAGCAGCCGCAGUAA
This 506-nucleotide ribosomal RNA is filed under the name uncultured bacterium. Its description in RNAcentral is "partial 16S ribosomal RNA". It matches the Rfam family "Bacterial small subunit ribosomal RNA", at positions 29 to 523 of the family's 1533-position model. The record is from RNAcentral.